AAAUAUUUGAUUUCGUAUAAUUUAGAGACAAAAAUAGAAAACAUUUUAAAAGUUCAAUGACAGAAACAAAUCGCGAACAACACUUUAGUGACCAUUUUUGUACUUUACCCGUAUAUUAAAAUACUAAUUCGAAAAAGAAAAUAUACCAGACAGAAGGAAGAAUAUGACCCGAACCUAAAAUUGUUGCCCGAAACUUACCUAAUAUUUUAGACUUAGGAAUCGUUGGAAAUGAAUAUCAUAAUAACUUAAGUAAUUGAAAAGAUAAGUGGACUAGUAUAGAUAGUAUUGUAAUAGGCCCAUUUCGCCCGGGCCCAUAACAAAAAACCAAAAAAACAAAAUAAAUAAAUAAAACCAAAUGUUAAUAAUCUAAGUCCCUUUUGUUACAACAGAGCCCAAACCAAAAUAAACCCAGCAUCCGACCCAAAUAUUAAACUCAGAUUAACCCAAUUAACUCAAAUAGCCCAGCACCCAAUGGCCCAAAACUAAACCAAAUUUUCGGCAGAAACCCUAAGGUUCCCUUGCGCUGCAACUGGUUUCCAACACCUUCCAGCACUGCUUUGCCUCCGGCCAGUCCCACGUGCGCCAUCAGCCAGCUGGCUCCAUACUUGCAACAAAUGGAAAUCACAACAGCAAAUGACAGAUAAUAUAACGGAAUAACAACAAACAAAUGAAGGGGGAAAAGGAGAAAUUUGUAAAUAUUUAUAUUUGAUUUUGGCUAUAUAAAGCCAAUUGUAUACUGUAAAGAAGGGGAGAAGGAAAUCUGUUUUUUUUUCAGAGAAAUAUUUUACGCAUACUAAAUACAAUCAAAGAUUAGAAGGUGAUUUUCGAUCUAUUUUCGGCAUUUCGAUUUCUUUUUUCCCUUGUUCUCGCCUACAUUUUUCGCAUAAAAAAAUAAGGAGAAAUGAGAGAGGAUUACCUUCGUGGGUGUACCGUCCGGGUCCUUGUCUCCUCCGUUGAAAUCGGAGUUUUAGAUAAAGAUUUUCAGGUGAAAAUAGGCUUUGAAUCUUAGCUUUAUUGGAUAUAAAAAGGGCUUUCUCAUCAUUCACCGAUUUUAAUAGUGAAAAUGGUGGUUAAAUGGUGGAUGAGGGAAGAGUUUUUUGGUUUGGCUGAAUGGGGAAGGAAGGAAGCUUUAGGGCACGUUUGGUUCGCUGUAUUGGAUUAGAGGUGUAUUGGAUUAGAGGUGUAAUGGAUUAGAGGUGUAUUGGAUUAGAGAUGUAAUGGAUUAGAGGUGUAUUGGAAUAGAGGUGUAAUAGCAAAUCAACUGUUUGGUUGAAUGUAAUGGAAUAGAGGCGUAAUAGUAAUCUUGUGUUUGGUUGAAUGGAAUAGAGGUGUAAUAGCAUAAUGGAAAAAACUAAAAUGACUAGAAUACCCUUAGCAUAAAUUUGUUUUGGUAAAUGAUUAUUGUUAUUGUUAUUUAAAUUUUAAUAAGAUUAUUAAUAUCAAUAAUAAAUAAUUUAAUCAUAUUUAAACAUAAUUAUUAUUAAAUAUAUUAUAAUUAAAAUAUAUAAUUUAAUAAAAUUCUUAAUAAUCAAUAUUCUUAUAUGAAUUUACUCAAAUCAUAAUAUAUGAUACUAUAAAAUAUAAAUUAACAUAAUUAUUAUUAAAUAUAUUAUAAUUAAAAUAUAUAAUUUAAUAAAAUUCUUAAUAAUCAAUAUUCUUAUAUGAAUUUACUCAAAUCAUAAUAUAUGAUACUAUAAUUUACUCAAAUUCUUAUAUGAAUUUAAUAAAAGAUCAUUUGAAAUAAUUAAUAUUAAAAUUAACAUGUAACUGUUUGUUACUCAUUCUUUGUUUCUUAUUCUUUUUGUUUUGAUCAUGUAUCAAUCAUUUAAACCAAAUGCUUGGUUGUAUUGGACAGUGUUUUAUUACUUUAUAAAUGCAUGAUUUUAUAUACACAAAUACAUAUGUAUAGGAAAAUUAUCUGAAUGAAUGGUUAAUAUUUAUUAUCAGCAAAACUUAGUAUAUACACACAUAAAUUAAGGUAAGAUAAUUAACUCGAUAUCUAGCUUGAGCAGCUCGAGUUUGUCUAAACAAUACAUCAAAACUUUUUAUUUUGAAGCUUAUAAACUUAAACAGCUUAAGUGUCUUAUUUUUCAUUAUGCUAUAAAGGGAAUAUAAAUAAAUACCAGAAUUUUGAUACGAAAAAUUGCAGCAAGCAAAGCAAUAUCCUGCUAUUAAACUCACUAUAAAAUAUGUAAUAUAGCAAACAAAGAUCUCUCAACUGAUCUUUAAUCUUUUUAAUCAUUUGUAAAUAAAAGAAAAAAUUACAAAAAAGAACAACCUGCAGAAUGUUUGAUGACAAAAACUAACAAAAAUCCAUGAUUCAAUAUCAAAUUCAAGAUGCAUUCUCCUUUUUCAGCUUAGCAAGUUCUUGCUUGAUGACUCCAGACCUCUGCAAAACCGUAUUACAGCUCGUCAAGCUUCGAUUGAAGUUUUGAGGAAGUGCUUUCAAGAAAAGAACUCUGGUAUAAAACGGGUAGACACAAUAGGGGGUGUAUCGGAAACUGACCUUGAUCUUAGCCAACAUAAGCUUGAACCUAUCAAAGUCGUUGAGAGAUGCUCUUCUCUUCUGGACAAUCAACUUUCUACCCCACGAGCUACUUUCCCAUUUGUUCUUAACAUCUGUAAGUUAACAUAAGAGUGAUAAGAAAGAAAACAUAUCUUCAAGAAACAACAUUACAAAUGCUGGUGAAAGCUGUCGUCGUCCUUACCAGCCUUCUCCAUAGCUUCGAUCAACCCAUUUGUUCUUAGGAACACGUGGAAUUUCAAUUGUGAUAUCUGUCAAUGUAAGCCUCUUGAAGUUCAUUUGGCCUCUUACCAUAUCCGGGGCAUCAACAAGUGCCUGCCACAUUAAAAAUAGUCACUUCUUACACGCACAUCUCCAAAUAACACCUAUAGGACUUCAACUAGACUAGUUGGCUGAUAAAGGAACAUUGAUAAUUGAGCAGACCAUAAUCCAAAGACUAAAACCAGCAAGAUGGGUUAGUAGAAAAAUUAUGCAGCCAAAAUCUAAUGGUCACAUUAAAGACAUGUUUAAACCCUUCAUAUGACAUGUGAUAAAGGAAAGGGCUUUCUUACAUGACCACAGGUAAGUUUGCAGGCAAUUGCAUGACUUGCUUCAUGCAAGAAUACUGUAAUGAGCUUAAAAGGCAGCAACAGCACUGUUCUCCAUAUCUACAACAAUCAGGGGGAAACAUUAGGUCAAUCCAUUUAAGCAAACAGAGGCAACCAGUUCAAAUUCCAAAGAAUGCUGUAUCUUUUAACAGAAAUUCAACUGCAGUGAAUCCCCCUAGAAAACUCCUAAAACCUUGGCAUCCUCAUCCUUAUGAACAACUUAUGAAAAUUGUUGUAAAUGCCAUAGCAUUUAUGAGUUCCUUAUGAACAGAUUUACAACAAGUAUUACAAAAGUAAAUCACAAAUGCUCCAAGAAAAGAACCCAAUUUCCUUCAACGUGCAAACCAAGAAACUAUUUAAACUGAAUCUAUUUCGUAAUUCAAAUUACCAUCAAUUUUCUUGGAAGUAAGUGAAUGCAAAUGCAUGCAGGAGAUAAUAUCAAUGGAGAAGCAGAUCGAAGAAACAUUCUAAAACAGAGGAUUAAUUUGCUUCCCUCGAUUGAACUCCCUCAAAUUGAAAGAUCUUCAGAAACUCAUUGGAUUUUUCCAUGAAGAUUAUACUGUUGACUUCCCAGCCUUAAAGAUUCUUGAGAUAGAAAAUAGUCCAGACUUGAAGGCAUUCAUCCAUAAAUCUAUCGACAAAUAUAACCCUACUGGUGGAGUUUUGUUCAACGAAAAGGUACUGUUUUUAACGCAGUGAAUUGUACCUUAUUUCCAUUUCUCUUGUUAUAAUUAACUCUUCUAAUCAUUUCUUCCACAGACAUGAAUACUGACAUCAACUAUAUUACUUCUGUUAAAUUCACCAUCUCUAAACAACAUAAAUUCAAGGAUUAACUAAACAUAACAAUAAAAAGAAUUCAAAACCCCAAAAAGAACAAAUCUUGCAGAGACCCAAAAUUAAAAAAAAAAUGAAACAUGAUUACAUAUGGCUUGUAAAUUGAAGGUUUAGUUAACCUGUAAUGAAUAUGGAUUUCCUUUGAAAUAGAUUGAAGCCUUGAGUGGAGCCUGGAAAGAAGCAGAAAUGGCGAUAACUAGGCGCAGGCAAGGCAACCAAGAAGAGGAAUAAAUUAGGAGGAAUGGAAAGCUUAAAAACCCAAAACACUAACCUGUAAAUGACCAAAUCCGGGCACAGUGCGAUGAAGAAGAAGCUGUAAUCAGAAAAGGGGAAACCGAUUACAUGCAGAAUCAGCAGAGUGAAACAAAUCUGGAGGGGAUUAACUUGCCAACAACGAAUUCGGCAGAGGCUAGAAGGAACAGAAGAGAAACGGGGAAGCAGAUGGGAGGGUAUAACAGGGAUGGUAAACCUAUGCGGAGCCUAAUCUGAGCAAAUGGGGUGUAUUAGAAAUCGGUGGAUUUCACCGAUUAAGUUAGUCGCGUAUUACAGCCGUAAUAGAAAAACCACGAACCAAACAACGGCAUAGAGGCGUCUUAAGUAGGCCCCACCGAUUAGGGGUGUAUUGGCUAUGCCAAUACACCCAACCAAACAUGUUGUUAGUUUUUUUUUUUUUGCUUUGAUUCUUUUUCAAAUAGCUGAGUGUUAGUCUAGGUUUUUUAGUUUUGAGUUAUGAGAUUUGGUCUUUGAGGGUUAUUUGCGUGAUCAGUCCCUCCCCUCCUGCAUUAAUCUUUGAUUCGGCCUUGAUUCUGUUUAUUUGUUUUUACAUUUUCCCUGAGAUUCACGCAUUGUUACAAUUUUAUCCUUGUUUAAACGUUGUGCUUUGAGAUUUGGAAUAUUUCCAGUUUCGAUCCCUGCACAUUUGCGCGCAUUGCGCUUUAGUCUUUUACGAUUUCAAUGGUUUAAUUUAUUAAUUAUCCCUCUCAUUUUAACUUUAUUUUAAUUGAGUUUCUUU
This 4957-nucleotide long non-coding RNA is filed under the name Gossypium barbadense (sea-island cotton). RNAcentral describes it as "long non-coding RNA (GBAR_LNC002940)". Lineage: Eukaryota; Viridiplantae; Streptophyta; Magnoliopsida; Malvales; Malvaceae. The record is from RNAcentral.